Molecule: ribosomal RNA, 491 nt
Filed under: uncultured bacterium
Lineage: Bacteria
Description: partial 16S ribosomal RNA
Rfam family: Bacterial small subunit ribosomal RNA
Source: RNAcentral
CGCUGGCGGCGUGCCUAAUACCUGCAAGUCGAGCGCACGGACGAGAAGCUUGCUUCUCUGCUGUUAGCGGCGGACGGGUGAGUAACACGUGGAUAACCUACCUAUAAGACUGGGAUAACUUCGGGAAACCGGAGCUAAUACCGGAUAAUAUUUUGAACCGCAUGGUUCAAAAGUGAAAGACGGUCUUGCUGUCACUUAUAGAUGGAUCCGCGCUGCAUUAGCUAGUUGGUAAGGUAACGGCUUACCAAGGCAACGAUGCAUAGCCGACCUGAGAGGGUGAUCGGCCACACUGGAACUGAGACACGGUCCAGACUCCUACGGGAGGCAGCAGUAGGGAAUCUUCCGCAAUGGGCGAAAGCCUGACGGAGCAACGCCGCGUGAGUGAUGAAGGUCUUCGGAUCGUAAAACUCUGUUAUUAGGGAAGAACAUAUGUGUAAGUAACUGUGCACAUCUUGACGGUACCUAAUCAGAAAGCCACGGCUAACUACGUG